UUAAAAGGUCUCCCUUGGGUGACAGCGGAGGGUCAUUACCGAGUUUACAACUCCCAAACCCAAUGUGAACGUUACCAAACUGUUGCCUCGGCGGGGUCACGCCCCGGGUGCGUCGCAGCCCCGGAACCAGGCGCCCGCCGGAGGAACCAACCAAACUCUUUCUGUAGUCCCCUCGCGGACGUAUUUCUUACAGCUCUGAGCAAAAAUUCAAAAUGAAUCAAAACUUUCAACAACGGAUCUCUUGGUUCUGGCAUCGAUGAAGAACGCAGCGAAAUGCGAUAAGUAAUGUGAAUUGCAGAAUUCAGUGAAUCAUCGAAUCUUUGAACGCACAUUGCGCCCGCCAGUAUUCUGGCGGGCAUGCCUGUCCGAGCGUCAUUUCAACCCUCGAACCCCUCCGGGGGAUCGGCGUUGGGGAUCGGGACCCCUCACACGGGUGCCGGCCCCGAAAUACAGUGGCGGUCUCGCCGCAGCCUCUCCUGCGCAGUAGUUUGCACAACUCGCACCGGGAGCGCGGCGCGUCCACGUCCGUAAAACACCCAACUUUCUGAAAUGUUGACCUCGGAUCAGGUAGGAAUACCCGCUGAACUUAAGCAUAUCAAUAAGCGGAGGA
RNAcentral lists this ribosomal RNA (610 nucleotides) under Trichoderma asperellum. RNAcentral describes it as "eukaryotic LSU rRNA". The stretch from base 222 to 375 matches the Rfam family "5.8S ribosomal RNA". The record is from RNAcentral. Lineage: Eukaryota; Fungi; Ascomycota; Sordariomycetes; Hypocreales; Hypocreaceae.